GCGGCGCGUCCAAUACAUGAGGAUCGAACGAGAAUGUGUAGCAAUACACAUGUACAGUGGCGAAUUGGCGAGGACUACAUGGGUAACCUACCCUCGAGUGGGGAAUAACUAGCCGAAAGGUUAGCUAAUACCGCGUACGCUUCCCGGACUGCGGUUCGGGAAGGAAAGCGAUACCGUGGGUAUCGCGCUCUUGGAUGGGCUCAUGCCCUAUCAGCUUGUUGGUGAGGUAACGGCUCACCAAGGCUUCGACGGGUAACUGAUCUGAUAUUUUUAUCAGCAACACUGGCACUGCUACACGGGCUUUUUUCCUACGGGAGGCAGAGGGGGG
RNAcentral lists this ribosomal RNA (328 nucleotides) under uncultured Nitrospira sp. RNAcentral's name for it is "bacterial SSU rRNA". It matches the Rfam family "Bacterial small subunit ribosomal RNA", at positions 39 to 359 of the family's 1533-position model. Lineage: Bacteria; Pseudomonadati; Nitrospirota; Nitrospiria; Nitrospirales; Nitrospiraceae. The record is from RNAcentral.